RNAcentral lists this ribosomal RNA (257 nucleotides) under uncultured prokaryote. RNAcentral describes it as "partial 16S ribosomal RNA". It matches the Rfam family "Bacterial small subunit ribosomal RNA", at positions 524 to 780 of the family's 1533-position model. The record is from RNAcentral.
UACGGAGGAUGCGAGCGUUAUCCGGAUUUAUUGGGUUUAAAGGGUGCGUAGGCGGCUUUUUAAGUCAGCGGUGAAAUUUUGCAGCUUAACUGUAACAGUGCCGUUGAUACUGGGGAGCUAGGAUUUGGUUGCUGUGGGUGGAAUGUGUGGUGUAGCGGUGAAAUGCUUAGAGAUCACACAGAAUAUUGAUUGCGAAGGCAGCUCACAAAGCCAAGAGUGACGCUGAGGCACGAAAGUGUGGGGAUCAAACAGGAUUA